UAUCGGAUUGAUACUAAGCCAUGCGAGUCAUUGCAGUAAUGCAAGGCAGACGGCUCAGUAACGCGUAGUCAACCUACCCUAUGGACGGGAAUAACCUCGGGAAACUGAGUAUAAUGCCCGAUAGAACACUAUUCCUGGAAUGGUUUGUGUUCCAAAUGAUUUAUCGCCGUAGGAUGGGACUGCGGCCUAUCAGUUUGUUGGUGAGGUAAUGGCCCACCAAGACUAUUACAGGUACGGGCUCUGAGAGGAGUAGCCCGGAGAUGGGUACUGAGACACGGACCCAGGCCCUAUGGGGCGCAGCAGGCGAGAAAACUUUGCAAUGUGCGAAAGCACGACAAGGUUAAUCCGAGUGGUUUGUGCUAAACGAACCUUUUGACAGUCCUAGAAACACUGUUGAAUAAGGGUGGGCAAGUUCUGGUGUCAGCCGCCGCGGUAAAACCAGCACCUCAAGUGGUCAGGAUGAUUAUUGGGCCUAAAGCAUCCGUAGCCGGCUCUGUAAGUUUUCGGUUAAAUCUGUACGCUCAACGUACAGGCUGCCGGGAAUACUGCAGAGCUAGGGAGUGGGAGAGGUAGACGGUACUCGGUAGGAAGGGGUAAAAUCCUUUGAUCUAUUGAUGACCACCUGUGGCGAAGGCGGUCUACCAGAACACGUCCGACGGUGAGGGAUGAAAGCUGGGGGAGCAAACCGGAUUAGAUACCCGGGUAGUCCCAGCUGUAAACUAUGCAAACUCAGUGAUGCAUUGGCUUGUGGCCAAUGCAGUGCUGCAGGGAAGCCGUUAAGUUUGCCGCCUGGGAAGUACGUACGCAAGUAUGAAACUUAAAGGAAUUGGCGGGGGAGCACCACAAGGGGUGAAGCCUGCGGUUCAAUUGGAUUC
This 875-nucleotide ribosomal RNA is filed under the name uncultured archaeon. Its description in RNAcentral is "bacterial SSU rRNA". It matches the Rfam family "Archaeal small subunit ribosomal RNA", at positions 31 to 913 of the family's 1478-position model. The record is from RNAcentral.